This is a long non-coding RNA of Syngnathoides biaculeatus (alligator pipefish), 1954 nucleotides long. RefSeq lists it as uncharacterized. The transcript is spliced from 8 exons. The record is from RefSeq and is a predicted model, not a curated record. NCBI's taxonomy places the organism in Eukaryota, Metazoa, Chordata, Actinopteri, Syngnathiformes, Syngnathidae.
AGGACCCCACUUUAUAAAGCUUCGAAAGCCAUUCGCGCAGCCUCUUUUCUCUUCCGCACACAGUUGGGAUAACGUGGAUAUGGUGAUCAGUAAUGGAGCAGUUGUCAUGAGUCUUAUACUCGAGAUUUACAAUGAAAGAUGCUAAUGUUGAAGAAUUCGUGAAUUCUUCCAGGCUGUCUGUUAAAGACAAAUAAUCCCAGAUCGGAGAUGGGUGACUGAUAGGUUUACUCUCCUGCCAGUAAUGCCCACCACAGUUAUGAGUGCAUGUUUAAUUGUGUGAAAAGGCCUUCUGUUGAGUGGCAAAAUGUGAUCAAAACUGAAAAGGAUGAUGGGUACACUAAACAGUAAGGUAUCCAAAUGGCUGCAAUGGGGGAGCAGGUUACUAUGAAAGCUCCUGACUCGGAAAUGGAACAACGCUGUAUCAUUUAGUGCUAAUUGUGAGGCUGACAAAUCGAAAAGGUGCUGAAACUUUGUGUGUCUCUCAGCUGUUAGGUCAAGGAGAAUGGAGAAUCUGGAUCCCCUUUAUAUUGGAACAGCUUGACUGUGUUACAGCGGACUUUUUGUGCUUCUGCUAAUGUCUUUGUAUUUUAAUUAAAAUUUUAUUGAUCAGUCGAUCAAUUGAACAGAAUAGAAUUUCUAGAGAGGUGAGAGAGACAAAAAAGACAGUGCCAACUGUAAACAAGAUGAGAAUCAAAUAAUUCUAUAUCUACGACAGAAGUAUGGAUGUUACGUGAGAGUGUAGCACUACAUCCUGUGAAGGAAGAGCACAGAAAAAGUUAGAACAGGAGAAGCAUGCAGGACGAGGAUCGUGAAUCUGGGUGUACAACUGGAAUGUGGUGGGACUGAGGGUGAAUUACAGAGGUCUAUAGAACGAGAAUAUGAUCAUGAUCCACAUGCUCUUUUAUGGUUACAUGCAUAUUACAAUGAGAAGUCCCACAUCCAGUGAGAGAAUCCCAGCGGUGUGGGGCUACUGACACAUGGAAGUGAAUUGACCCCUCCGUACAGGGCACUUAACCACGCCUCCUGAAGUGACGUCACGCCACGUGCGCUGACGUAAGACAAACAGUAAAAAUGGCAAAUACAAUACAUUCUUAACUGAGACAGACUCCAUGCUUCGGGUUUCAUUCAAAUCAACGACAUAUUAUAGAUUCUAAAUACAAUACAUUCUUAACUGAGAGAGACUCCAUGCUUCUGAUUUGAUUCAAUCAUUCACACGUAGCAAUGUUACGCUCGCGAAGAACGUCUCAUUUAUACGAGACGUGUAUUGAAAAUCAAAUUUAGGGCAUAUCUUCGUGCAAACACAGUCUGGUUAAGCUUCUGGCCGCGAGCCGGCAAGAAAGCAACACGUUUGUGCGGUCCGAUCAUCGCUAAAUAUUGCUCAACAAAGAAUAAGUGUGUCAAUCGUUCACACGUAGCAGUGUUAUGCUAGCGAAGAACUUCGAAUUCAUUUAUACGAGACAUGUAUUGAAAAUCAAAUAUAAGGCAUACCUUUGUGCAAACAUAUCUGUUCCGGUUGAUAUUAGAUGGAUUUAGUUGAUGAUGCGGUCUUCCACAAAGUUUGAUCCAUCGAAGGCAUUUUUCGUACUGGGUCUUCGGUUUUGGAAAGGGUACGAAUCGAACUCCACCAACUAGCCUUUCGGGAUAGCUGUCGUCACUAUUACAAAGUCCAUGACUACACCUCUUAACCAUGUUUUUUGUUAAAUAACCCAAAUACGUGAUAAAACGCUAACAAAACCUAUACUGGACCAUGCAAUGUUGUCUGACAAAAUGGCGGGAGCAAAAACAGGCUUUGGUUUAUGCAGAUCUCUGGUCAAUGAUGCGGAUUGCGCAAUAUCCACGGAGGGGUCAAUUCACACCAUUCUGCUGGAUCAAGUUGUGGGAGUUUUCUUGAACCAGCUAUGCUGUAAACUUGAAUUAAUUUUGAAAGCAAAUAAAAUUUGAGUCAACCUGAAAA